UACGGGGGGGGCAAGCGUUGUUCGGAAUUACUGGGCGUAAAGGGCUCGUAGGCGGCCAACUAAGUCAGACGUGAAAUCCCUCGGCUUAACCGGGGAACUGCGUCUGAGACUGGAUGGCUCGAGUGUGGGAGAGGGAUGCGGAAUUCCAGGUGUAGCGGUGAAAUGCGCAGAUAUCAGGAGGAACACCGGUGGCGAAGGCGGGACUCUGGGCCGAUACUGACGCUGAGGAGCGAAAGCGUGGGGAGCGAACAGG
Molecule: ribosomal RNA, 253 nt
Filed under: uncultured bacterium
Lineage: Bacteria
Description: partial 16S ribosomal RNA
Rfam family: Bacterial small subunit ribosomal RNA
Source: RNAcentral